UUGACAGUGAAGUUUCGUUCUUUCCUGUCGUUUGUUUGUCGGAAAAUUUAUUGACAAUAUGGAGCUGUUAAUUAGGCAAAGUGGAGUGAAGAACUUUAGCAUAAAUUAAGAUAAAUUAAUAAAUAUUGUCAAUGUUUAGUGAUACAUGUCUAAGUGAGGGGCCUUUAAAAUGGGAAAGCUGUUGUCAAAAAUUUUUGGCAACAAGGAGAUGAGGAUAUUGAUGUUGGGGUUGGAUGCUGCUGGAAAAACAACCAUUUUAUACAAAUUGAAGCUUGGGCAAUCAGUCACUACAAUACCAACUGUUGGAUUCAAUGUGGAAACAGUGACAUAUAAAAAUGUGAAGUUUAACGUUUGGGAUGUGGGUGGGCAAGACAAAAUUAGGCCACUUUGGCGCCACUACUACACAGGCACCCAAGGUCUAAUAUUUGUGGUGGACUGUGCUGACCGUGAUCGUAUUGAUGAGGCACGCCAAGAGUUACAUAGGAUUAUAAAUGAUCGUGAAAUGCGAGAUGCAAUAAUACUCAUAUUUGCCAAUAAACAAGAUCUACCUGAAGCUAUGAAACCCCAUGAAAUCCAAGAGAAAUUAGGCUUAACAAGAAUGAGAGACAGAAACUGGUAUGUCCAACCUGCUUGUGCAAUUACUGGUGAUGGUCUCUUCGAAGGCCUAACAUGGCUCACAAGCAAUCACAAAUUAUAGCACUCUUAUGUACUACAAUCUUACAAGUUUUUUAGUCAAGCUGAUGUUUCCUUCAAAAAGGGCAGUGCACUCUUUCAGCCAUUCAGUGGUUGUGAAGUCUGGACCAGUGUUCUUAGUUUGUGCCUCUUGUUUUUUUUGUUGUACAUAAGUUAUUUUGUGAACACUUGAUGUUAUUAGUAUCUCUAAGUAGGUAUCUUAAAAAUUAUAUAUCUUUUGUAACAAAGCUUGAGAAUUUAUUUAUGUAUAUAUUCUUGAUAUUUUUUUUGCAACCAGUGCCCAUAAGUGUAUAGUAAUUGUAUUCUUAAAAAAUAUAUUGCUAAGCAGGGUUUAGUUUUAAGUCCUUUCAGGGCAGUGCAUCUUAAUCAAAUUAAUCAUGAAAUGUAUUGAAUUGCAUAUAUAAUAGGGUAGGUACAAGACAUUUGAAUUAAAUAAAAAAUUGACUAGAAUUGACCAGAAUGGACUUAUCUGUGCAACACCACAUAGGCAAUAUUGUUCUUUAAGGGUAAUUAAUUAAGUUAUAAUACACAUUAAUUUUUAUUGUUUCAUAUUGUAAAAUAUAUUGUUGCCCCUUAACUUGAAAGUUAUAAAUCAUUUUUAAGCAAAUUUUGCCUAAUAAGUAAGUAUUAUGAUUUGUAUUAUGUUAUGUUCGGAGGUUUGCACAAUCUCCAUUUAAAAGAUCAUUAUAGAUCAUGUUUAAUUGAAUUAAUUUGAAUAAAAGUAUAUCAAUUUUA
RNAcentral lists this unclassified non-coding RNA (1428 nucleotides) under Anthonomus grandis grandis. RNAcentral's name for it is "aDP-ribosylation factor 6". Lineage: Eukaryota; Metazoa; Arthropoda; Insecta; Coleoptera; Curculionidae. The record is from RNAcentral.